This 497-nucleotide ribosomal RNA is filed under the name uncultured bacterium. RNAcentral describes it as "partial 16S ribosomal RNA". It matches the Rfam family "Bacterial small subunit ribosomal RNA", at positions 28 to 507 of the family's 1533-position model. The record is from RNAcentral.
GAUGAACGCUGGCGGCGUGCCUAAUACAUGCAAGUCGAGCGAACAGACGAGGAGCUUGCUCCUCUGACGUUAGCGGCGGACGGGUGAGUAACACGUGGAUAACCUACCUAUAAGACUGGGAUAACUUCGGGAAACCGGAGCUAAUACCGGAUAAUAUAUUGAACCGCAUGGUUCAAUAGUGAAAGACGGUUUUGCUGUCACUUAUAGAUGGAUCCGCGCCGCAUUAGCUAGUUGGUAAGGUAACGGCUUACCAAGGCGACGAUGCGUAGCCGACCUGAGAGGGUGUUCGGCCACACGGGAACUGAGACACGGUCCAGACUCCUACGGGAGGCAGCAGUAGGGAAUCUUCCGCAAUGGGCGAAAGCCUGACGGAGCAACGCCGCGUGAGUGAUGAAGGUCUUCGGAUCGUAAAACUCUGUUAUUAGGGAAGAACAAAUGUGUAAGUAACUAUGCACGUCUUGACGGGACCUAAUCAGAAAGCCACGGCUAACUACGUG